RNAcentral lists this ribosomal RNA (553 nucleotides) under uncultured bacterium. RNAcentral's name for it is "partial 16S ribosomal RNA". It matches the Rfam family "Bacterial small subunit ribosomal RNA", at positions 355 to 901 of the family's 1533-position model. The record is from RNAcentral.
UGGGGAAUUUUGGACAAUGGGCGCAAGCCUGAUCCAGCCAUGCCGCGUGCGGGAAGAAGGCCUUCGGGUUGUAAACCGCUUUUGUCAGGGAAGAAAUCUUCUGAGUUAAUACCUCGGGAGGAUGACGGUACCUGAAGAAUAAGCACCGGCUAACUACGUGCCAGCAGCCGCGGUAAUACGUAGGGUGCAAGCGUUAAUCGGAAUUACUGGGCGUAAAGCGUGCGCAGGCGGUUUUGUAAGACAGAGGUGAAAUCCCCGGGCUCAACCUGGGAACUGCCUUUGUGACUGCAAGGCUUGAGUGCGGCAGAGGGGGAUGGAAUUCCGCGUGUAGCAGUGAAAUGCGUAGAUAUGCGGAGGAACACCGAUGGCGAAGGCAAUCCCCUGGGCCUGCACUGACGCUCAUGCACGAAAGCGUGGGGAGCAAACAGGAUUAGAUACCCUGGUAGUCCACGCCCUAAACGAUGUCAACUGGUUGUUGGGAAGGUUCCUUCUCAGUAACGUAGCUAACGCGUGAAGUUGACCGCCUGGGGAGUACGGCCGCAAGGUUGAAACU